UACGGGGGGGGUAAGCGUUGUUCGGAAUUACUGGGCGUAAAGGGCUCGUAGGCGGCCAACUAAGUCAGACGUGAAAUCCCUCAGCUUAACUGGGGAACUGCGUCUGAUACUGGAUGGCUUGGAUUUGGGAGAGGGAUGCGGAAUUCCAGGUGUAGCGGUGAAAUGCGUAGAUAUCUGGAGGGACACCGGUGGCGAAGGCGGCAUCCUGGACACCAACUGACGCUGAGACGCGAAAGCGUGGGGAGCAAACAGG
This 253-nucleotide ribosomal RNA is filed under the name uncultured bacterium. Its description in RNAcentral is "partial 16S ribosomal RNA". It matches the Rfam family "Bacterial small subunit ribosomal RNA", at positions 524 to 776 of the family's 1533-position model. The record is from RNAcentral.